This is a long non-coding RNA of Corapipo altera (White-ruffed manakin), 469 nucleotides long. RefSeq lists it as uncharacterized. The transcript is spliced from 2 exons. Lineage: Eukaryota; Metazoa; Chordata; Aves; Passeriformes; Pipridae. The record is from RefSeq and is a predicted model, not a curated record.
CCUCUGUCCCCACAUGGAGCACCCCUGUGUCCCAGUGAGGGACACCCCCAGCCCCUGCAUCUCCAGCUGUCGGGCUCCGGGGCACCCGGGAUCCACAGCGUGGGGACACACAGGGGUCGAAUCCUGCCAUCCCCUGACACAGCCCAACAGCAGCUCCUGGGCAGGGACACGACCAGCACAAACUUCAGCAUCCGCAGGCUCCGGGGGCUCAGCUCUCCGGCAGGGAUGGUGCCCCGGGGUUGUGGAAACGAAGCAAGAGUAAUGCAGCUGCUCUGAGUACAACAAGCUGGUGUGACCUCUUGGCAGGAAAUCCAGGGAAAACCAGCAGCAGUUCUUCUAGAUCCAUACCAGAGCACUGGAAAUAAGCUCUUCUGAGGGGCUGGAGCAUGAAGUCUGUGCUGCUGGGAGUGCAGGGGGUUUGAGAUACACCAGCGAUGGAGAAUCUUGCUAUAAAUAAAAUCAGCCCAGU